Molecule: ribosomal RNA, 253 nt
Filed under: uncultured bacterium
Lineage: Bacteria
Description: partial 16S ribosomal RNA
Rfam family: Bacterial small subunit ribosomal RNA
Source: RNAcentral
UACAGAGGUCCCAAGCGUUGUUCGGAUUCAUUGGGCGUAAAGGGUGCGUAGGUGGCGCCGUAAGUGGGGUGUGAAAUUUCGGAGCUUAACUCCGAAACUGCAUUCCAUACUGCGGUGCUUGAGGACUGGAGAGGAGACUGGAAUUUACGGUGUAGCAGUGAAAUGCGUAGAGAUCGUAAGGAAGACCAGUGGCGAAGGCGGGUCUCUGGACAGUUCCUGACACUGAGGCACGAAGGCCAGGGGAGCAAACAGG